GGCCAGUAGCGGCGCCGCGCUGUCCGUCUCCGGGAGAGCAGCCAGUCAGCGCCCCGCCAUGGACCUGUGCUGCCUGCUGGGGUACCUGCUCACAGGAGUAGCCGUGCUACUCCUGCUGGCCCUCGUGGACCUGAAGCGACGCGGCUACUCCAGAGACAUCAGUUGGCCGGACCUCCUGAAACUCUAUGUUCUCACCCAGCUGAGCAGCAUCAAAAUGUACCGCAUGCACAAGAAGUUCGAAAGGGAUGUCCGAAGCUUUGAGCAGGCGCAAUCAAUUUUUCUGAUGGACCGGAUCCGCCGCUCAGAAAAUACAGGCUUCGGAAGAGACAACGAUUUUUCCUCCAUCCGCAGCGUGUCAGACUUCCGACGGAGUAUGCCGUUGUUUGACUUCCCGCAAAUGGAGGACUACGUCAACCGGCUGGCCGACGGAGAGAAAUCAGCCCUCCUUGGCGACAAGGAUGACGUCUUCAUCUUCAUCACAUCCUCAGGAACUACCGGCAGAAACAAGCGGAUCCCGAUGUCUCAGCAGGCCGCUAGGGACAUGCAGAACCAGGUGCUGUUUGGCCCGCUGCAGUGGGUCGUUCGCCGCCAUUUCCCCUGGAAUCUGAGGCGCAUUCUCAACGUGAACAACGGCCGUGUGCUGGAGAAGACCAAGGGCGGCUACACCGUCAGCGCCGCCGCGCACGUCGUUUACGCGCGCAUGAACACGCUGACGGCGGAGCUGUUCACCACGCCACUCGUCGGCCAGCAGGUGAAGAGCGAGUUCGAAUCUCACUACAUCCACGCACUUUUCGGCCUCUGCGACAAGCACAUCAGCGUGCUGCGCACAGUGUUCGUGUUCAACUUCCUGACGUUGAUGCGCCGCAUCCAGCAGAACCUGCCGGACCUACUGCGCGACAUGCGCCGCGGCCGCAUCAAGGAGGACCUGAACAUACCGCCCGACGUGAGGGAGGAGCUGAACCGUCACCUGAGGCCGACGCCGCAGCGGGCCGACGAGGUCGAGCGCGAGUUCGCCAAGGGCAUGGCCGGUAUCGUGCCGCGCCUCUGGCCGCAGAUGGAUCGCACCAGCGGCAUCUGGUCGGGCAGCACCAACGAGACGUACUACCGCGAGGCGCGCUACCUGCUUGGACCCGACAUCCCCAUGCUCAGCUUCACGUACAGCGCCUCGGAGGGCUACAUGGGCUCCAACAUCGACAGCUGGACCGGGCCGCCGCGCUACACGCUCAUCCCCGACAUCAUGUUCUACGAGUUCCUGCCCAUCGUCCACGACCGGAUCCCGGAGCUCGGGGAAAUCGACCGCCGGGAUCUGCUGCUCGGCCACGAGCUGGAGGUCGGCAAAGAGUACGAGAUCAUCAUCACCAACUCGUCGGGCUUCUACCGGUACCGCGUUGGAGACGUCAUCAAGGUGGUGGGCUUCUACCAGCAGGCGCCGCAGAUCGAGUUCCUCUACAGGUCGGGCCAGUCGCUGAACGUCUGCGGCGAGAAGACCUCUGAGGAGGUGUUGUUCCGCGCGCUGCGCGACGCCGCGCGGCAGUGGCCCUCCCAGCUGAAGGACUACACGGCGGCCGUCAGCCAGUUCGCACUGCGCCGCGAGGGCGACCUCAGCCUCUGCUAUAUCCUCUUCAUCGAGCUGGAGGGCGAGCCGCUGACCGAGGCUCAGACCGACCUGGUGGACGAGACACUGCGCGACCAGUCGGAGGAGUACGCCAGCUACCGGACGCUGAAGAAGCUCUCCAAGAUGACCGUGCACCAGGUGGCGCCGGGCACCUUUGCCCGGUUCCGCUCGCACCUCAUUGAGACCACGGCCGUGGCCGCCAACCAGUUCAAGAUGCCGCGCGUGCUGAAGAGCCCGGACAGUGUCGCCUGGUUCAUGGACCACGUGCAGAAGUAGAGCGGACAGUAUCGCCUGAAGAGCCCGGACAGUGUCGCCUGGUUCAUGGACCACGUGCAGAAGUAGAGCGGACUGCCGCGGUGAUGGGUGACAUGUUCGACAGGAGAAAGACAAAACGAAAAUGUUGCCUUUUCAAUGCAAUUUGAAGAGUGAAUACCAGGGUCGGAGCUUCCUACCGAGGGGUGGGGCGGCUGCCCCAGCAAAUCAUUUUUCGCAUUGAGGAGCUUUGAAAUGUUUGCGUAAUGGAAAAGAUUAUCUCCAUAAUGAUAGGAACUGAUUCAGUGUAGCAUUUAAUCCAACUUAACAAUGGGCAUUGUACUUGUAGGUUUGACGACAUUUUGCCCCACAAACUUUCAAGAAAAGGCUCCACCAACUGAGCAAUGAUGAAAUGCAGAUGUGAUGCGUGUUUUUGUUUCUCCCGGAGUGUGAAGUAAUAGUAAAAAAGUAUGAUUUGAA
RNAcentral lists this unclassified non-coding RNA (2347 nucleotides) under Amphibalanus amphitrite. Its description in RNAcentral is "probable indole-3-acetic acid-amido synthetase GH3.9, transcript variant X3". The record is from RNAcentral. Lineage: Eukaryota; Metazoa; Arthropoda; Thecostraca; Balanomorpha; Balanidae.